CUGGCGGCAGGCCUAACACAUGCAAGUCGAACGGUAGCACAGAGGAGCUUGCUCCUUGGGUGACGAGUGGCGGACGGGUGAGUAAUGUCUGGGAAACUGCCCGAUGGAGGGGGAUAACUACUGGAAACGGUAGCUAAUACCGCAUAACGUCGCAAGACCAAAGAGGGGGACCUUCGGGCCUCUUGCCAUCGGAUGUGCCCAGAUGGGAUUAGCUAGUAGGUGGGGUAACGGCUCACCUAGGCGACGAUCCCUAGCUGGUCUGAGAGGAUGACCAGCCACACUGGAACUGAGACACGGUCCAAACUCCUACGGGAGGCAGCAGUGGGGAAUAUUGCACAAUGGGGGAAACCCUGAUGCAGCGACGCCGCGUGAGCGAUGAAGGCUUUCGAGUCGUAAAGCUCUGUC
RNAcentral lists this ribosomal RNA (405 nucleotides) under uncultured Enterobacterales bacterium. RNAcentral describes it as "bacterial SSU rRNA". It matches the Rfam family "Bacterial small subunit ribosomal RNA", at positions 36 to 437 of the family's 1533-position model. The record is from RNAcentral. Lineage: Bacteria; Pseudomonadati; Pseudomonadota; Gammaproteobacteria; Enterobacterales.